RNAcentral lists this ribosomal RNA (301 nucleotides) under Klebsiella sp. RNAcentral's name for it is "bacterial SSU rRNA". It matches the Rfam family "Bacterial small subunit ribosomal RNA", at positions 505 to 805 of the family's 1533-position model. The record is from RNAcentral. Lineage: Bacteria; Pseudomonadati; Pseudomonadota; Gammaproteobacteria; Enterobacterales; Enterobacteriaceae.
GAGGCAGAAGCCGCGGUAAGACGGAGGGUGCAAGCGUUAAUCGGAAAUAAUGGGCGUAAAGCGCACGCAGGCGGUCUGUCAAGUCGGAUGUGAAAUCACAGGGCUCAAACUGGGAACUGCAUCAGAAACUGGCAGGCUAGAGUCUUGUAGAGGGGGGUAGAAUUCCAGGUGUAGCGGUGAAAUGCGUAGAGAUCUGGAGGAAUACCGGUGGCGAAGGCGGCCCCCUGGACAAAGACUGACGCUCAGGUGCGAAAGCGUGGGGAGCAAACAGGAUUAGAUACCCGAGUAGUCUUUGCACGUA